GUGAGGAAUAUUGGUCAAUGGGCGAGAGCCUGAACCAGCCAAGUCGCGUGAGGGAAGACGGUCCUACGGAUUGUAAACCUCUUUUGUCGGGGAGUAAUAGGCGGGACGUGUCCUGCUGUGAGAGUACCCGAAGAAAAAGCAUCGGCUAACUCCGUGCCAGCAGCCGCGGUAAUACGGAGGAUGCGAGCGUUAUCCGGAUUUAUUGGGUUUAAAGGGUGCGCAGGCGGCGUGCCAAGUCAGCGGUCAAAGUUCCGGGCUCAACCCGGUGAUGCCGUUGAAACUGGUGUGCUUGAGUGCGUGCGAGGGAGGCGGAAUGCGUUGUGUAGCGGUGAAAUGCAUAGAUAUGACGCAGAACUCCGAUUGCGAAGGCAGCUUUCCAGCACGCCACUGACGCUGAGGCACGAAAGCGUGGGGAUCGAACAGGAUUAGAAACCCUAGUAGUCC
This 444-nucleotide ribosomal RNA is filed under the name uncultured bacterium. RNAcentral describes it as "bacterial SSU rRNA". It matches the Rfam family "Bacterial small subunit ribosomal RNA", at positions 354 to 796 of the family's 1533-position model. The record is from RNAcentral.